AGUGAACGCUGGCGGUAGGCCUAACACAUGCAAGUCGAACGGCAGCACAGUAAGAGCUUGCUCUUACGGGUGGCGAGUGGCGACGGGUGAGGAAUACAUCGGAAUCUACUUUUUCGUGGGGGAUAACGUAGGGAAACUUACGCUAAUACCGCAUACGACCUACGGGUGAAAGCAGGGGAUCUUCGGACCUUGCGCGAUUGAAUGAGCCGAUGUCGGAUUAGCUAGUUGGCGGGGUAAAGGCCCACCAAGGCGACGAUCCGUAGCUGGUCUGAGAGGAUGAUCAGCCACAAGGGAACUGAGACACGGUCCAGACUCCGACGGGAGGCAGCAGUGGGGAAUAUUGGACAAUGGGCGCGAGCCUGAUCCAGCCAUACCGCGUGGGGGAAGAAGGCCUUCGGGUUGUAAAGCCCUUUUGUUGGGAAAGAAAAGCAGCAGGUUAAUACCCCGCUGUUCUGACGGUACCCAAAGAAUAAGCACCGGCUAGAUUAGUG
Molecule: ribosomal RNA, 491 nt
Filed under: uncultured bacterium
Lineage: Bacteria
Description: partial 16S ribosomal RNA
Rfam family: Bacterial small subunit ribosomal RNA
Source: RNAcentral